Varroa destructor (honeybee mite) is the source of this 947-nucleotide RNA transcript. RefSeq lists it as uncharacterized. NCBI's taxonomy places the organism in Eukaryota, Metazoa, Arthropoda, Arachnida, Mesostigmata, Varroidae. The record is from RefSeq and is a predicted model, not a curated record.
UGGUACGUACUGCGCAGUCACAUGUAGCGCACUUUAGAUGUGAAGCAGAGUCAGUAGUCACUAGCGUCGUCGUCCAGUGGCCCUACUAACUGUCGAAGGAGGUCUAAACGUAAUCUGCACAAGAACACGUGUGUACAGCCAAGAGGACAGCGUCCGGUAGAAAAACACCGUAACGAGUCACCGAGCGAUUGCUGUUUGCCCAUUAACGCCGACCCGGUCUAGUGUAGCAUUCGACCCAGCAGCAGCAACAUGCUGAUCUGUAUCGUGUACUCAGCCGCCUGUGUCUGCAUUAUUCUCGCUGUUGUGCGGCACCAUGUCUAGUAUGCUGACCUAGUCGGCUUUCUCUACUUCUUUAGCACGCGGAAAUGCAAUAGAUGCACGUGAAUUUCUUGCAUGAAACUGUGCGUGCUGACAGUCCAGCUCCGUCCUUCCGUCUUCAGCGAAAAAUCCAGAUCCGCUUCCUGGCAGCCCUCUAGCAGUUUUGCUUCAUCGACGAGACAGUUCAGGCCUAAAGUAUAAUGGGAACGUUGACAGACUUCGGAUGUCGAUAAGUUUCUGUGGGCAUGUCGUACGACUCUGGGCAAUAAGCCAGUGAACUACACGAGGCGAAGGGAAAGAAAAACGAUGAGACCCACUGCAGCAGAAUCGAGCACAGGCCCAAAAAAGCUCACACGACGCCAUGAAAGGACGAACAGCAGAGGAGCAUACCAGCACCCAGAGACAGGUCGCGCUUUCUUAGCAUUGAAAGUACACAACGAUUUGCUCCGCUUCCCCAGGAUCGCUCUCGGAGUAUUACUUCUAACAACAUGUGCAUAGAUCCACGCAUCACAGUGCCCCGUGUCAUAGCUACGGAAUGCUUGCUGAAGGUCUGCGUCUGCCUGUGGGUGUCGGGUGGGGUGUGCAGGGAUGGCUGCAACUUGUUGCCGGAAACGGCGCCUCGUAUUCUC